CGGGGUGAGUAACACGUGGGUAACCUGCCUCAUAGAGUGGAAUAGCCUUCCGAAAGGAAGAUUAAUACCGUAUAACGUUGAAAGAUGGCAUCAUCAUUCAACCAAAGGAGUAAUCCGCUAUGAGAUGGACCCGCGGCGCAUUAGCUAGUUGGUGGGGUAACGGCCUACCAAGGCGACGAUGCGUAGCCGACCUGAGAGGGUGAUCGGCCACAUUGGGACUGAGACACGGCCCAG
This 234-nucleotide ribosomal RNA is filed under the name uncultured bacterium. RNAcentral's name for it is "partial 16S ribosomal RNA". It matches the Rfam family "Bacterial small subunit ribosomal RNA", at positions 104 to 334 of the family's 1533-position model. The record is from RNAcentral.